UACGGCAACAUCAUGUUGAAAUACCGAUUCCCGUACGAUCACUGAAGUAAAGCAAAGUUGAGCCUGGUCAGUAUUUAGAUGGGUGACCGCUUGGGAAUACCAGGUAC
Acanthosepion pharaonis is the source of this 107-nucleotide non-coding RNA. The record is from the annotation of a GenBank genome assembly. NCBI's taxonomy places the organism in Eukaryota, Metazoa, Mollusca, Cephalopoda, Sepiida, Sepiidae.